AAGUCGUAACAAGGUUUCCGUAGGUGAACCUGCGGAAGGAUCAUUAACACGUAUCCGUUAAACAACCCUGUGAACUUUCAACACCGCCGGAAUGAGAUUAAUUUCCAACUCCGGUGAAGGCAAGUGACCUGGCACCUGGACCACAUCAAAGCUCUGACAGAGUGCCUCUGGAUUGUGAUUGAAGGGUGACGCAGUAACGAUCGCUGGAGGCCCACACGGCCGGCGACUGGGUCAGCGAGCUAACGCUCCCUCAACAACCACUUAACAUGACGACAGUUCCUCUUUAACUUGAGUUGAGCUAUAACAAAAAACUAUACAACUGUUAACAAUGGAUAUCUUGGUUCUC
RNAcentral lists this unclassified non-coding RNA (346 nucleotides) under fungal sp. RNAcentral's name for it is "partial internal transcribed spacer region". The stretch from base 1 to 46 matches the Rfam family "Eukaryotic small subunit ribosomal RNA", at positions 1786 to 1831 of the family's 1831-position model. Lineage: Eukaryota; Fungi. The record is from RNAcentral.